This 435-nucleotide ribosomal RNA is filed under the name uncultured bacterium. RNAcentral describes it as "partial 16S ribosomal RNA". It matches the Rfam family "Bacterial small subunit ribosomal RNA", at positions 29 to 507 of the family's 1533-position model. The record is from RNAcentral.
AGCGAACGCUGGCGGCAGGCUUAACACAUGCAAGUCGAGCGGGCACUUUCGGGUGUUAGCGGCGGACGGGUGAGUAACGCGUGGGAACGUGCCCUCUGGUUCGGAAUAACUCAGGGAAACUUGAGCUAAUACCGGAUACGCCCUUUUGGGGAAAGGCUUGCUGCCGGAGGAUCGGCCCGCGUCUGAUUAGCUAGUUGGUGAGGUAACGGCUCACCAAGGCGACGAUCAGUAGCUGGUCUGAGCGGAUGAUCAGCCACACUGGGACUGAGACACGGCCCAGACUCCUACGGGAGGGAGCAGUGGGGAAUAUUGGACAAUGGGCGCAAGCCUGAUCCAGCCAUGCCGCGUGAGUGAUGAAGGCCUUAGGGUUGUAAAGCUCUUUUAUCCGGGACGAUAAUGACGGUACCGGAGGAAUAAGCCCCGGCUAACUACGUG